GGCGAACGGGUGAGUAACACGUGAGUAACCUGCCCUUGACUUUGGGAUAACUUCAGGAAACUGGGGCUAAUACCGGAUAGGAGCUCCUGCUGCAUGGUGGGGGUUGGAAAGUUUCGGCGGUUGGGGAUGGACUCGCGACUUAUCAGCUUGUUGGUGGGGUAGUGGCUUACCAAGGCUUUGACGGGUAGCCGGCCUGAGAGGGUGACCGGCCACAUUGGGACUGAGAUACGGCCCAG
RNAcentral lists this ribosomal RNA (236 nucleotides) under uncultured Actinomycetales bacterium. RNAcentral describes it as "partial 16S ribosomal RNA". It matches the Rfam family "Bacterial small subunit ribosomal RNA", at positions 97 to 334 of the family's 1533-position model. The record is from RNAcentral. Lineage: Bacteria; Bacillati; Actinomycetota; Actinomycetes; Actinomycetales.